RNAcentral lists this ribosomal RNA (267 nucleotides) under Triticum aestivum (bread wheat). RNAcentral describes it as "partial small subunit ribosomal RNA". Lineage: Eukaryota; Viridiplantae; Streptophyta; Magnoliopsida; Poales; Poaceae. The record is from RNAcentral.
AUGGAGUGGUUGGCUCUUAGAAGGCUUGCCAGAAAGCCAACAGCGAUGUGCGACAAGUUCGCAUCCGUUAGAUGCAUAUCGGAUGCCAUCUGGGUCUUCAUAGCUUGUGAGGUGGUACGAAGACAGGUGGAGUGUCAGAUCGCAGAGAACACAUACUUGGGUCCUGACAAGUCCCCCCAAUUCGGACCAAACUUGUCCUCGGGGCUGAGGCCUGUUGUACAAAGCUUGGAAAGGAGUGAUUUUGAGGGAUGUAUGAGGAAAGGGUGA